Molecule: ribosomal RNA, 468 nt
Filed under: uncultured bacterium
Lineage: Bacteria
Description: partial 16S ribosomal RNA
Rfam family: Bacterial small subunit ribosomal RNA
Source: RNAcentral
GACGAACGCUGGCGGCGUGCUUAACACAUGCAAGUCGAACGGAAAGGCCCUGCUUUUGUGGGGUGCUCGAGUGGCGAACGGGUGAGUAACACGUGAGUAACCUGCCCUUGACUUUGGGAUAACGUCAGGAAACUGGGGCUAAUACCGGAUAGGAGCUCCUGCUGCAUGGUGGGGGUUGGAAAGUUUCGGCGGGUGGGGAUGGACUCGCGGCUUAUCAGCUUGUUGGUGGGGUGGUGGCUUACCAAGGCAUUGACGGGUAGCCGGCCUGAGAGGGUGACCGGACACAAUGGGACUGAGAGACGGACCAGACUCCUACGGGAGGCAGCAGUGGGGAAUAUUGCACAAUGGGCGGAAGCCUGAUGAAGCAACGCCGCGUGCGGGAUGACGGCCUUCGGGUUGUAAACCGCUUUCGCCUGUGACGAAGCGUGAGUGACGGUAAUGGGUAAAGAAGCACCGGCUAACUACGUG